CGUUGGCCCGGGGGGCGCACGCCAGCUGUUGAAGUCCCGGCAGGAUCCGGCCGCGUCCCAGUUUCCCAGGAGCACGCCCGAGGUCCAUGGGACGAGGGGCGGCACUGGAUUGCCCCUCCGGAGACCAGGGCUGGACCCCCAUUGCUGGAGACUCCCGGUGCUCAAGAGGAACUGGCCGGGGUGAGGAGAGGCGGCUUCGCGAGAGAGCUGGGCAGCCCGGGACCUUGGGCGGAAAUCGGAGCCCUCCAGGUCCCUCUCAUCACCCCCUGGAGCUUGCAGGUCCUGCUCUUUUGCCCCCUGGGGCCUGGGAGCCCCUGAAGACGCCAAACAAAAAUGUGCUGUUUUCUGGUUUCCUGCCUUCGGCUGCAGCGCUGGGGCUGACCACAAGGGGCGGGCAACAGGAGCAGGGAAGGGACGGGGUCAUUCUGGCCGUGCCUCUGCCCCCAUCCCAACCUGCAUCUUUUAUUACUGGCCUCCAUGCCACAGUGUGAGUUGUUCAGGGGCGGGGGGCUCUGAGAACCUCAUGGAUUCCUUCAGCUACUGAGAAAAAAGCAAAAUUACUUUUUAUUUGUGGGGCUGAAAAAAUUCUUUACAUACUGCAUUUGCUUCACACUAUGGCCACAAGUAUUUUUGCAUUUUGCUACUGUCCAUUUUGUUUGACCCCUCCCUCUUUUGUCCCACUCCAGCGUGAAAAUAUGUCCCUGAACCUGGUAACCUGGUUGAGACUUGCAGGGUGGGGACUGUGAAGCAGGCACGCAGGAGAAGCUGGUAGAGUACGUGGUGUCUGACCUCCAGGGCAGACUCCUGUGUCACCCCCUUCUCCACACAAUGGGGCACAGCCUGCUGCAGAGAGGCAGGUGCCGCUGCUGCCCACAGUAGCACACUGGGGACGCCGCAGCCACCUAGCUGUGUGUCUUGGGAAUGUUCCUCCACCUCUCUGAGCCUCAGUUUGCUCGUGUGAAACCUGGAGUGCUACAAGGGCCAAACCCAGGGCUGUUGUCUGUACUAAUGUGAGCUGUGCGGAGCACUGACCCUGAGCCUGACGUCUGACCCCGGGCCUGGCCCGUGGGGAGGACUGCUCAGGGCUGUGGUUGUUCUUGUUUAUGGUUUUCUCUCCCAGGUGAAGAAGCUGUCUGUCUCAGGCCUCACUCAUCCCAUGGCCUUGGGGAAAGCUGCUCCCCGUUUGUAAAGGAGGUUUCACAUUCUGUCUGGGGUCCCCUGACCCAGGGUGCACCGCGGAAUCGAGGUUCACUCCAACAGCCACGCACAUGUUAAGUGCCUACUGUGCGCAGGCCUUUUCUAGGUGCUCUGCAUAGCUCACCGAAUGCAGCAUCCGAAGUCCCUGCCCCCGGGCUUCUAGUCCAGUCCCGGCCCAGCAGACAUCAGAGCAGGUAGAGGACACAGGACACUGGAUGCGAGCCCCCCUGGCCUCCUCUAGAUAUGGGUUCCUCUGCCCUCAACGUCAGGAUGACAGACCCCAGGGACAACCAGAGGAGUGCGUGGGCUCUGGGUCAAGAGAAAGGGCUCCUGUCUCCAUGGUGGGGGACAUGGGCUGAGGCGGGGCCUAGCAUCUGGAGGAUGCGGACUUUACGGCCUGAAGCAGUUUGUGACUGACAUGUAGCCUGGUGUGCCCAGCCGAGGCCUGGAGCACCUGCCUGCCUUUUGACCCAGCUGGGUGAGCAGGGGCCCACUGGGGCCAAGCUCUAGGGUGACUGAGGGUGGGCGUGGAUGGGGAGGGGCAGUGCUGGGGUGGCUCAGACAAUCAGGCGGACUCCGCCUGGGAAGACGUUGGUCUCCAGAAGGCUUGGGCCGGGAUCUGCCUUUGGAGAGAUCUGUGGGAAGGCGGGCAUGCGGUAAUCUCCUGCAGUCCCCGUGUGUCCCCAGAGUGGCGCUGGCCCCACACCAGCUCCUGCACCACCUCAAGAGCUAGAUCCAGCUGCACACCUACAGCGCUGGAGCCCGAGGUGUCGGUCACGGGGCCUGGUGCCUCCUCCGGCAGCACAGCCAGAGCCAGAGCCAGAGCCAGAGCACAACCAGUUCUCGCGUCAGCUCCGGAGCUGGAGCGCGCCUGGCACUCCCCCGACACCCCCCGGUACCCCCCAGCACCAGCUCUUGAGGCGCAGCCAGCAGCUCUCCCCUCUGCUGGUCUCUCCCCUCUGCUGGUAGCAAUUUUUGUUUCUUUUCCAUUUUUCUCUUUCCUCUUUUUGAAUUUUAUAAACAUUUUGUGUGUUAAAAUUUAGAUUCAAUAAAAUGUAACCUUCUGAUCAUUUUAAA
Pteropus alecto (black flying fox) is the source of this 2274-nucleotide long non-coding RNA. RefSeq lists it as uncharacterized. The transcript has 2 exons. Lineage: Eukaryota; Metazoa; Chordata; Mammalia; Chiroptera; Pteropodidae. The record is from RefSeq and is a predicted model, not a curated record.